GAUGAACGCUGGCGGCGUGCCUAAUACAUGCAAGUCGAGCGAACAGACGAGGAGCUUGCUCCUUUGACGUUAGCGGCGGACGGGUGAGUAACACGUAGGUAACCUACCUAUAAGACUGGGAUAACUUCGGGAAACCGGAGCUAAUACCGGAUAAUAUUUCGAACCGCAUGGUUCGAUAGUGAAAGAUGGCUUUGCUAUCACUUAUAGAUGGACCUGCGCCGUAUUAGCUAGUUGGUAAGGUAACGGCUUACCAAGGCAACGAUACGUAGCCGACCUGAGAGGGUGAUCGGCCACACUGUAACUGGGACACGGUCCAGACUCCUACGGGAGGCAGCAGUAGGGAAUCUUCCGCAAUGGGCGAAAGCCUGACGGAGCAACGCCGCGUGAGUGAUGAAGGUCUUCGGAUCGUAAAACUCUGUUAUUAGGGAAGAACAAACGUGUAAGUAACUGUGCACGUCUUGACGGUACCUAAUCAGAAAGCCACGGCUAACUACGUG
RNAcentral lists this ribosomal RNA (497 nucleotides) under uncultured bacterium. RNAcentral describes it as "partial 16S ribosomal RNA". It matches the Rfam family "Bacterial small subunit ribosomal RNA", at positions 28 to 507 of the family's 1533-position model. The record is from RNAcentral.